ACUGGACAAAAUUAAAGUGCUCUUCUGUCACUGUACCCGUUCCUAUGAACACUGACAGGAGAGCAUUUCAAUUUUGUCAAGG
RNAcentral lists this microRNA precursor (82 nucleotides) under Tupaia belangeri chinensis (Chinese tree shrew). RNAcentral's name for it is "Tupaia chinensis (Chinese tree shrew) mir-3660 microRNA precursor family". It matches the Rfam family "mir-3660 microRNA precursor family". Lineage: Eukaryota; Metazoa; Chordata; Mammalia; Scandentia; Tupaiidae. The record is from Rfam by way of RNAcentral.